This is a long non-coding RNA of Psammomys obesus (fat sand rat), 3204 nucleotides long. RefSeq lists it as uncharacterized. The transcript is spliced from 3 exons. The record is from RefSeq and is a predicted model, not a curated record. NCBI's taxonomy places the organism in Eukaryota, Metazoa, Chordata, Mammalia, Rodentia, Muridae.
CCACUGAUCCAACCAUCUACCCAUCCAUUCAUCCAUUCAUCCAUCCAUCCAUCCAUCCAUCCAUCCAUCCAUCCAUCAAUAUUUACUAUUCUCCAAAGUUUAUAUUGCAGUAGGGGACAGGAGAUAUAUCUGGGGACUUAGUAUACAAACUUUCAUGAUAUUAAGAUCUUAUUUCACAGUUGGAGCAAAGGCUCGGAGGUUAAGAGUAACUACUGCUCUUGCAGAGGACCUGAGUUUGGUCUUCAGCACCGAUAUGGUAGCUCACCACUAUGUAUAACUUCAGUGCCAGGGCAUUUGAUACCCUCUUUUGGCCUUCAUGAGCAGUGAAACCAUAUGGUGCAUAUACAUACAUGCAGGCACACACUCAUACACAUAAAAAAGAAAAAAAUCAUCUAGAAAAAGGAUCUUAUGUAUUUUUAUCUUUUUUUUCUCUUUUUUGAGUCAAUGUCUCACUUUGUAGCACUGGCUGCUGGCCUAGAACACUGUAUGUGAGCAGAAUGGCUUUGAACUAGGAAACCUCCCUGCCACUGCCGCCCCAGUGCUGGGAAUAAAGGCUUGUGCCACCAUGUCCAGCUAUUAAAUCUCAUCUCAUUCCAAGAGACUCAGAUCCUGUCUGAAGUUAACCUAACUUUCCACAAUAUGAGCCUCGUCUCUCUCUAACUCAGUCUGUAACACGAGCCUCAUCGUUCCACCCAGAUCAUUCUGUUUAUAGCGCAGCUCUCCAAGUCAGGUGUCUGAACAAACAGGUAGGCACCUGCUCAAAGCUCAUUGGAAGUGUACAUUCCUGACCUCAUCCUGCACUGAUCUAUGCCAGACAACCGCAGACCCACAAACACAAUCGAAAGCUUGACAGACCACAGAUAGUUGUAGACAGUGUGUUACACCACUGGUAAGUGAAAUCAAAGAGUAAAAGUAAGCCAGAAAACUGACUGGCAGGCUUUAAAAACCUCAGAAUUAGCAGUUUGGAUAACAAUGGAGAAUAUUUGUCCUGAGCUAAAACCAGGUGUAAUCAGAGCUUUCCCACUGCAAGAUUGGAAGUCAAAGGAAGCUGUGAUGGUACAGAGGUGGCUGCAAGUGCAGUAAGGAGAUGGUUGUCAUCUCAAAGUCCCCGGGGAAAUUCACUCUUUUUGCAUCUCAUCCUCAGGAACAGACUUGAUCUGAGCAACACCUCCCCACUGUCAAUGAAGUCUUGUCAACUCAGGGUCUGCCUCCUUUUGGUUUUUUUGCCAUGUCAUCUGCCACAACUUCCCUGGCCCCACUAUCCAUCACCUUCUCCUGCCAAUGCUCCUUGCACGCCAUUUUCAUUGCUCUCAUUAGAAAGUUGUAUAGCACUAUGCACUAAUUGAGAUGUUUGCUAAAAAAAUGUCUGCUUGUAGAUUACAUAAUUAAUAGCUAUUCCUUUCUAGUCACAACUUACUGUGUGAUUUUAUAGAUUUUAACAAAACCACUGUUUUUAUCCAACUUUUUUUUAUUGUUUAACAUUCUAAUGCUGAAAAAAGAAGAAAGGAGUCGGGAGCAGUGAGAUGAACUAGAUAGUAAGUGGGCUUAACAGGAAGUUCAUAUACUAAAUAUGGUGGAAUGAGAGAACCAACUCCCUCAAAUGAUCCUCUGGAGAUGAGAGAGAAAGAGACAGAGAGAGAAAGAGAUGGAGGAGAGAGACAAAGAGUAAACACACAUGUGUGCACACUCUCAAUGUGAAUAAUACUCAAUCUAUUGGUAAAAGUUUAUCUCGGAACAGUUCAGUUUGGCUCCCUGACACGAAGCUCUUUCCUCUCGAUGCUUCAUCCAGGAGAAAAAUGACCUGCUUCAAAAUCCAGCAAAAGGGGGUGUAACAUAGUCAUUGAUUGGCUGAAUAAGACCUCUGGACCACGUGCAAUUGCAGCCACAGCUGCAGAGAUGGACAUUUCCAUCAGGUUCUCUUUGCCUUUAUAAUGUCGGCAGAAUGUUGGUAUGCAGUUCAGUCUACACUCAACCUUAUUAUCCUUCUCAUGUACCAGUAAGAAGGCCCGGCUGCUCUUAUCUGGAUUCGUGGGAUCACCUUCCCAGCAAAGUGCCAUUUUCAAGUCCUUGUCUUUGUUGUACAAAUAACCCAAACAGGACAGUAGCUUACUAAUGUAUUCAGCAAUAUUAAUCCCCUUCUGAUCUGACAUUACGUGUAACACAUUUGACUUAUAUAUUUUAUGGUCUUUUCCUCCUAACAGAGCCCAUGAAAGAAAGAGAGUGGAGAUGGUAGCAUGGGCGUCAGCAUUUUCACUGCCUCUCCUACCAGAUUUACAUCGAAGUGGGCAUGUCUGUGCUGAUGAAUGCAAAUUUGUACAGCACGUAAAGAAAAUGCAAAGUGAUUCUGUGCCAUCAAUUUCUUUCAUUCCAUGCUUAAUGUCAGGUCCGGUAUUUUAUCUCACAGUCCUGAAAAUUGCAUUUGCCUGAUCUGACAUUCUAGAUUGAUAACAAUAAUCACUACAGAUGCAAACUCUACCUUGAUCAAAAUCUGUACAGGUAACCAUGGAGUUAAAAAACAGACUUUAAAUUCUUCAGCCUCCUAUGGCUUUGGAACUUUAAGGUAGAAAUAUAUCACAUUAUAAAAAGAGAAGAACUGUUUCAUGUAGUGCCUCGUAAGAGGGAAUUGUAGAAGUGGGUUAUACAAAGGAAAUGAAGUUUUACCUUUGACGAUCACUCCUCCAUUUUUUAAAAAAAUGUUUCUUUUUUUCUUUUACGCUUCCAACACAGAAAAAGAUCCUAACUUCAGGUUGUUGUGAUAUUGUUAGCCAGAUGUCACUCUUGGUAUGUGAUGUUCAACUGCUCUGAAAAAUAACAAAUGCAAUAAUUAGACAUGAUGACUCAUUCGAAACAGAAACUCACUGAGGACUGAUCUCAUAAAAAUGACACUGGGAGCCAUUAAAUCCACUGAUGUGAGACAAAGAAAUCUACAUGGUGGUUCUUGUGACGAUAUUGCACUCGGUAUCUUUAUGCAUCUCAGAAAAUCAAAUCAACCAGAAAAUAAAAACAUUUAUGUCACUAUUAUAGGUUUUUGCUCAUAAUUCAAGAUGAGGCAGUAGACAUAAUCACACAAAAAGAAGAAAACAGACCAGUCUGCUGCUGCCUGUGUGGAUAGCCUCUGGGUCUGUCUUCACCACGAAGCAGACGUGAAUUUUCCUGCGAAAAGGCCUAUGAAAACGUGGGCUCAAUAAACGAAUGUAAACAGCA